UUUUAGUAGGGAAGAAGCGAAAGUGACGGUACCUGCAGAAAAAGCACCGGCUAACUACGUGCCAGCAGCCGCGGUAAUACGUAGGGUGCAAGCGUUGUCCGGAAUUAUUGGGCGUAAAGAGCUCGUAGGCGGUUUGUCGCGUCUGCUGUGAAAUCCCGAGGCUCAACCUCGGGCUUGCAGUGGGUACGGGCAGACUAGAGUGCGGUAGGGGAGAUUGGAAUUCCUGGUGUAGCGGUGGAAUGCGCAGAUAUCAGGAGGAACACCGAUGGCGAAGGCAGAUCUCUGGGCCGUAACUGACGCUGAGGAGCGAAAGCAUGGGGAGCGAACAGGAUUAGAUACCCUGGUAGUCCAUGCCGUAAACGUUGGGCGCUAGAUGUAGGGACCUUUCCACGGUUUCUGUGUCGUAGCUAACGCAUUAAGCGCCCCGCCUGGGGAGUACGGCCGCAAGGCUAAAACUCAAAGGAAUUGACGGGGGCCCGCACAAGCGGCGGAGCAUGCGGAUUAAUUCGAUGCAACGCGAAGAACCUUACCAAGGCUUGACAUACACCGGAAACGGCCAGAGAUGGUCGCCCCCUUGUGGUCGGUGUACAGGUGGUGCAUGGUUGUCGUCAGCUCGUGUCGUGAGAUGUUGGGUUAAGUCCCGCAACGAGCGCAACCCUCGUUCUAUGUUGCCAGCGGGUUAUGCCGGGGACUCAUAGGAGACUGCCGGGGUCAACUCGGAGGAAGGUGGGGAUGACGUCAAAUCAUCAUGCCCCUUAUGUCUUGGGCUUCACGCAUGCUACAAUGGCCGGUACAAAGGGCUGCGAUACCGUAAGGUGGAGCGAAUCCCAAAAAGCCGGUCUCAGUUCGGAUUGAGGUCUGCAACUCGACCUCAUGAAGUCGGAGUCGCUAGUAAUCGCAGAUCAGCAACGCUGCGGUGAAUACGUUCCCGGGCCUUGUACACACCGCCCGUCAAGUCAUGAAAGUCGGUAACACCCGAAGC
Molecule: ribosomal RNA, 982 nt
Filed under: Curtobacterium flaccumfaciens
Lineage: Bacteria; Bacillati; Actinomycetota; Actinomycetes; Micrococcales; Microbacteriaceae
Description: bacterial SSU rRNA
Rfam family: Bacterial small subunit ribosomal RNA
Source: RNAcentral